UUGCAGUUUCAAUGGAGGCAGCACCAGAUUUAUCAUUUAUGCUCUGAUCAUUGGAAGUAGGGAUGCCAGUUUCCUGAUCCCUGAAUAUAGUCUUCUUAAUGGGAGACUCAACCCUUAAUUCUUUCACUUGGUUUUUGUUCAGAUCAGAACUCUCUGUUUUAUAGUUCUCAUCUAUUUGACAAAGAGACAUCAAAGACGUGAGAUCAAAAGAUAGAGCAGCAACUCCUGGAAAAGGACAAGAACCUUUAACAGGCUG
This 256-nucleotide unclassified non-coding RNA is filed under the name Hevea brasiliensis (rubber tree). Lineage: Eukaryota; Viridiplantae; Streptophyta; Magnoliopsida; Malpighiales; Euphorbiaceae. The record is from RNAcentral.